RNAcentral lists this transfer RNA (79 nucleotides) under Thermodesulfatator atlanticus. RNAcentral describes it as "tRNA-Ile". It matches the Rfam family "tRNA". Rfam says of the family: Transfer RNA (tRNA) molecules are approximately 80 nucleotides in length. Their secondary structure includes four short double-helical elements and three loops (D, anti-codon, and T loops). Lineage: Bacteria; Pseudomonadati; Thermodesulfobacteriota; Thermodesulfobacteria; Thermodesulfobacteriales; Thermodesulfatatoraceae. The record is from RNAcentral.
GGGCCUAUAGCUCAGCUUAGGUCAGAGCGCACGCCUGAUAAGCGUGAGGUCGGUGGUUCGAAUCCACCUAGGCCCACCA